UUAAAUUAAAAAUAUUACGCAUCAGUCUCUAAUUCAUAACUCAAAUCAACAUCCGCCGUGGACCACCACACCAAAAAUUGCCUCCGACAACAGUGUCCAUCAUAAACAAUCAUCAGAUACAGCAAAUAAUAUGUUUCUACCUCCCCAAUCCAAAUCUUCCUUCCAUUUCAACCAAUUCUGAAUCUAUCCUCAAAAUCGGAUUAAAGACUUCAAGAGCCCUAGGAGUUCAACCACAAAUUACAUAGCGAAGGACAAGAUUCAGAGCCACAAUUGAUAGGGCUUUGAAUCGCCCUGAUGCAAGCUAUAACAUGAUAACUUAAUUGCAAUAAAGUGGUGAAGAUGAACCUACCUCCGAAGCUGAGAAUUGCUUUGGCGAAGCGUUGGAUAUGAGAAGACGAAGCAGCGAUGGGAAAAUCACUUGAAAUCCGGCAUGCUCCUGCUCUUAUCUUCUUCUUCUUUCUGAUUCUUCCUCUUCUAAAGAUCCUUCUUCUUCUUCUUUUAAAACAUAUGCCUGAGAUUAUGCUUUGAGAGGGAGUAAAAGUUGCAGAGAGAACUCGUGAGGUUAUGAAUAGAGUGAUGGAAUCAGAUGGAGGUUUAACACACCUUCAUUCAAGGUCCAUUGUCGAGACUCUGUAGAAGUCUAGGGAUGUGCUCUGAGUGAUUAUAGUUGAGAGGUUGAAGAUGAUGCAAAGAUUCUGAGAUUUUCGGUAUUGUGAUCAAUCCCCUUGGAUGUGUGUGUGAGUUUUGAUUUAUAGGGCUCAUAGUUUGUAACAAAAUGGGGCAGAGUCAGGAAAAGUUUUAUUGAAGGUUAAGGUUAGUUCAAUCAAUGGGUAAGUUUGUUAGAAGAGUUAACACCGUUAACUAGUUAUGCAGUUAGUCAAUUCCACUUAAAGUCAGUUAAUGCAUUAGUUAGUUAGCAUUAACCAAAGGAGAAUUAGUUGAAAGUUUGAACUGUCAUUGCUCUGUUAGUGAAAUAUUAGUUAAACUGACUGUUAGUGGAUUGAGUAUUUGAAAUUUGUAUUGAGUUUUUGUAUGGCAUGCUAAUAUUCCAGGUUGCAUCAUGUUCAUGGUGAUGAUAGUGUGUCAAGGCUUGAUGGAUAUUGUUACAGGUCAUGAUGUGUGGAUGUAGGGCAUUAAUGUAAGUUAAAGGCAGAUGUAUAUUGAUGUAGCAAGUCAUGGUGAGGUUGCAGCAGGUCAAUGGUCAUGGUUGGUGAGGUCAUGUUUUGGCUGUUUGAAAUGCUAUGAUAAUGGUUGAGAUGUUUGGCUUGUUGCAAGUUGAUAUGUUGAUGACUGAAGCUUGCUUGGCAUGGAACUACAUGAAAGCUCAUGGUGAUGGUUUGGAGAAAAAAAAGUUUACUUGCUGAAGAAGAAAUGUUUGGUCAUGCAAUUAAGUGAAAGGAUGUAAAAGAAUGAAGAAUCAAUGUGGAAAUUAUGUGUUAGGUCUAGAAAUUGGGUCAGUUGGCUUUGAUCAAUUGGUUAACCAAAAAGUCAACAGUUGACCAAAAGUCAACUAUAGGUCAAACUUAUAUUUUUGUAAUUUUUUUGUAUAAAACUUUGUAUAUGUACGUUUUUGAAUGAAAUGGACCAUUGAAUGGAAA
Long non-coding RNA from Lathyrus oleraceus (garden pea), 1598 nucleotides. RefSeq lists it as uncharacterized. The transcript has 2 exons. The record is from RefSeq and is a predicted model, not a curated record. NCBI's taxonomy places the organism in Eukaryota, Viridiplantae, Streptophyta, Magnoliopsida, Fabales, Fabaceae.